RNAcentral lists this long non-coding RNA (344 nucleotides) under Vigna radiata. RNAcentral's name for it is "long non-coding RNA (VRAD_LNC012978)". The record is from RNAcentral. Lineage: Eukaryota; Viridiplantae; Streptophyta; Magnoliopsida; Fabales; Fabaceae.
AAUCCCUUGUUGAGAAAGCCUAGGUUCACUUGUAAAAUCCCAAUCCCUUGGCAACCCAACAAGUUCACCCGCAUUAAGAAAAGAAGUUUAAGACAACCAAAGGUCCUAGCUCUAUCCCUAAACACUAUUUCCUUUAGGUGUUUAUGUUCAUUUCAAGGUUCACAAAAUAUUUCCCAAUACUAAGCAAACCCUAACAUCAUGCCNUGGUUGAUCNAGUCAUAACAAGCUUUAAGCAAAGAAAUAAACACUAACAAGUAAUGAAAGAAGCAUAAAUUCAUUUAGAACAAGUGCAUUUACAAAUGGUUUGUAUAGUUUACAUCAUUCCCCAACAUAAAAGAACUUAG